AACGAACGCUGGCGGCAUGCCUAACACAUGCAAGUCGAACGAAGGCUUCGGCCUUAGUGGCGCACGGGUGCGUAACGCGUGGGAAUCUGCCCCUCGGUUCGGAAUAACAGUUAGAAAUGACUGCUAAUACCGGAUGAUGACUUCGGUCCAAAGAUUUAUCGCCGAGGGAUGAGCCCGCGUAAGAUUAGGUAGUUGGUGGGGUAAAGGCCUACCAAGCCGACGAACUUUAGCUGGUCUGAAAGGAUGAUCAGCCACACUGGGACUGAGACACGGGCCAGACGGCUACGGGAGGCAGCAGUGGUGAAUAUUGGACAAUGGGCGAAAGCCUGAGCCAGCAGUGCCGCGUGAGUGAUGAAGGCCUUAGGAUUGUAAAGCUCUUUUACCAGGGAUGAUAAUGACAGUACCUGGAGAAUAAGCUCCGGCUAACUCCGUGCCAGCCGCCGCUGUAA
This 449-nucleotide ribosomal RNA is filed under the name uncultured bacterium. RNAcentral describes it as "partial 16S ribosomal RNA". It matches the Rfam family "Bacterial small subunit ribosomal RNA", at positions 29 to 523 of the family's 1533-position model. The record is from RNAcentral.